Poecilia reticulata (guppy) is the source of this 608-nucleotide non-coding RNA. NCBI's taxonomy places the organism in Eukaryota, Metazoa, Chordata, Actinopteri, Cyprinodontiformes, Poeciliidae. The record is from RefSeq and is a predicted model, not a curated record.
CCAAGAACCAAGUCUGGACUACAAGUGCGUUUCCUGCCAAGACCGAACAUCUCCACCUGCCGCUCUCCUCCCCUCUCCAUCACUGAUCAUCAAGAACGCUCCCGGAUCCUAGCCUUUUCCCUCCGUGCAAUCACCAUCCGAAAGACAGUUCUUAUGAGGUGCUCUGUGAAGUGCAGCGACUAGUUGCCCAUUAUGCCAGCUGUUAAAUGGACCCACAGUGAAGGGCAAACGGAGAAGCGUGCAUAAUCCGCUCUCCCUCUCCCCGUCUGUUUCUGUCGCAGCAUCAUCUCUUCCUCUUUGAGUCUCGCACUGAUUGAAUAUUUACUCUCAUUUAAUGCUACUGUCCAAAAGACGACAGGCAGAUUCACAUACUGCCAAGCGCACGUAUCUGCACACACAGCCUGGUCUACCCAUUUAAUUAGGCGCUCUAUGAAUAAUUCAGUUUGAGCCUCUGGGCUGAAGAUAAUUAUAACGAUCAGGAUAAUAAUGUUUAUUUUGCUUUUUAUUGUAUUAAGACAUCAAUAUCUCCGCAGUGCAGCGCGGACAGUUUGCAACUGCACUCCCACUGCCUGAAGCAGCAGCACGGAAAUCCGAGAGCAAACUUUGUG